RNAcentral lists this ribosomal RNA (253 nucleotides) under uncultured bacterium. RNAcentral describes it as "partial 16S ribosomal RNA". It matches the Rfam family "Bacterial small subunit ribosomal RNA", at positions 524 to 776 of the family's 1533-position model. The record is from RNAcentral.
UACGUAGGGGGCGAGCGUUGUCCGGAUUUAUUGGGCGUAAAGCGCGCGUAGGCGGUGCGGUAAGUCGGCCGUGAAAUCUCCAGGCUCAACUUGGAGGGGUCGGGCGAGACUGCCGCGCUAGAGGUGGGCAGAGGCCGGUGGAAUUCCGGGUGUAGUGGUGGAAUGCGUAGAGAUCCGGAGGAACACCAGUGGCGAAGGCGGCCGGCUGGGCCUGGCCUGACGCUGAGGCGCGAAAGCGUGGGGAGCGAUCCGG